UACGGGAGGCAGCAGUGAGGAAUAUUGGACAAUGGAUGGAAAUCUGAUCCAGCCAUGCCGCGUGCAGGAAGACGGCCCUAUGGGUUGUAAACUGCUUUUAUAUGGGAGCAAUAAGGUUUACGCGUAGACCGAUGAGAGUACCAUAUGAAUAAGCAUCGGCUAACUCCGUGCCAGCAGCCGCGGUAAUACGGAGGAUGCGAGCGUUAUCCGGAUUUAUUGGGUUUAAAGGGUGCGUAGGCGGCCUUGUAAGUCAGCGGUGAAAUUUUGCAGCUUAACUGUAACAGUGCCGUUGAUACUGCGGGGCUAGGAUUUGGUUGCUGUGGGUGGAAUGUGUGGUGUAGCGGUGAAAUGCUUAGAUAUCACACAGAAUAUCGACUGCGAAGGCAGCUCACAAAGCCAAGAUUGACGCUGAGGCACGAAAGUGUGGGGAUCAAACAGG
This 439-nucleotide ribosomal RNA is filed under the name uncultured bacterium. RNAcentral describes it as "bacterial SSU rRNA". It matches the Rfam family "Bacterial small subunit ribosomal RNA", at positions 340 to 776 of the family's 1533-position model. The record is from RNAcentral.